AUGGCCCAGCGGCCACCGGCCAGGCCUCAGAGAACGAUCACAGACAGAAAACUCACGCAGCGGGAUGGCAGCGAGGCUGCGGGCUCCUUUUCCCCAGUGAGUCGCGGAGGAGGACUGAAGGAGGGGCCUGGGUUCCGGGAGCACCAGCGGUGCAACCCCGGGGGAGGCCCUGGUCUACGGCGCGGGGAGCUCAGCCAGUGCGGCAGGCGUGAGGCUGGGCGGGAGGAGAGCUCUCCCGCUCCGCUGACUCACCUGGCGGCCUUGACACACAGAAACAGGCCCCAGCUGAAGACUCACCGUCAGACCAAGGAGCUGAGACCCCAGGAGAACGCACCCUCGCGGAGCCUGAGUCCGCAGACGUCUCAGUACAACCGCCCCCAAAUGAAGACCUCAGAGGGCAGCCGACAGCUUGGGAACAGUGAGGGAAGGAGCAAGCAGCCCUCAGGCCCAGCACAGCAGCCACUCAGGGAGCACGGGGAGGGCCGGUGGAAGGGUCUCAGGACCUCCCCAGCCUCUCUUGGCAGAUCCUGCAGCUCCUGGACGGAAAAGAGGGGGAGCUCAUCACCUACAAACCUCACCAGAGCUCCCAGGAAACAGAAAAAGCCCACAUUCUUCCUGGUCACUCCACAGCACCCCCCCUUUCCUUCUGGGUCCCUUCCCUGCUCCAAACACCCCCAGCUCCCUGGAGACUCAGCCUGGACCACCGCAGACCAUAGAUGGGCAGACACCAGGGCCCGCCUUCAGGCGGAAUUGUGCCCAUCUGUGCUUCAGAGCCUUUCCCUGCACAAUGAAGACGUGGUCUGCACCUCACAUGGUGGCUGCCGUGAGGAUGAAGGACGAGGCUUGGGAAGCCAUCUGCACAGCUUCUGUCCACUGCAGGUGGGAUACAUGCUCUUGCUGCCCAGCUUGGCUUUCCUUCUGCCCGAUGCCCAUCCUCCACUCCAGCCAGGCAAGCUCACUGUGCCAUGUGCCAGGCUCAUUCAGAAGCCCUCACCUCCUCCCGCAUUGUCCAUGGGAAGUCCCACAUCCUCUCAGGCAUCAGAAAUGCCCCUCUGAGUCAGGGUCCCCCCAUCCCCCGCCUUUUCCAGGACACGCCCCUCCCCCUCCUCCUCCUCCAAGACAGGGAGCCCAGGGCACCAGGACACUUGUGCUGCAGGAGUUAGCGAGGCAAUUCGGAGAAAAACGAGACAGAUAAAAGUUGGAAAGGAGAAGGUUGGGACAGGGAAAGCUGAUUGUCCCCAAUAUCUGUUCUUUUCAUGUUCUCUAAUAACAGAGGCCCAGAUUUUUGGAUGAGCACACACUCUUCAUACAUGUUAGAAGAUGUAAUGAUCCCAUUGACAAAAACAGAGUGAUAAGACACUUAAGAAUAAAUUCUGCAAGAAACGUAUGCACAACCUAUAUGAAGAGAACACAGACUGUCUGAAUGAAUGGAAGGUAUAUACUGUCCUUAGAGAGGAAGAUUUAACAUCAUAAAUAUUCUAUUCAUCUUUCCACCAGUUCAGACCUCAUCUCAGUUUAGUCUACAAAUUAAACACAACCCCGGUUAAAAUACCAACAGCAUUUUUCAUGGAUGAUCGUUAAUUCUAAAGUUCGCUUUUUAAGUUGGGUGCAAUGGCUGUCACUGGUAAUCACUGUACUUUGGGAGGCUGAGGCAGGAGGACCAUUUGCACUUAGGAGUUUGAAACCAGCCUG
Homo sapiens (human) is the source of this 1692-nucleotide long non-coding RNA. RefSeq lists it as uncharacterized. The transcript has 4 exons. Lineage: Eukaryota; Metazoa; Chordata; Mammalia; Primates; Hominidae. The record is from RefSeq and is a predicted model, not a curated record.